CAAGACUAAACUACAACUAUGAACAACAUCAUCAUCUUCAUCUGGACCAUUGCACUGUUUAUUCAAGAGUGUAGAGGACAGAUCACUGUAACUCAGAGUCCAUCAAUAUCAGCAGUUCAACCAGGAGAAGAAGUCAGAAUAAACUGUAAAACCAGCAGUAAUGUGUAUAGUAAUAAUUGGUUACACUGGUACUCACAGAAACCUGGAGAAGCUCCUAAACUCCUCAUAUAUAGAGCAACAACCCGUAAUACUGGAACUCACUCUAGAUUCAGUGGCAGUGGAUCUGGCAGUGAUUUUACUCUGACCAUCAGUGGAGUCCAGACUGAAGAUACAGGAGAUUAUUACUGUCAGAGUUAUCAUGCUAUCAGUGGUAAAGCUGUGUUCACACAGUGAUAAAGAGUCGUACAAAAACCUCUGUCAGUCAGACGUCACAGUGACUGCACUGAUACAGCUGAGAGAAACUGCAGCUGCUGA
This is a non-coding RNA of Rhinichthys klamathensis goyatoka, 474 nucleotides long. Lineage: Eukaryota; Metazoa; Chordata; Actinopteri; Cypriniformes; Leuciscidae. The record is from the annotation of a RefSeq genome assembly.